RNAcentral lists this unclassified non-coding RNA (168 nucleotides) under soil metagenome. RNAcentral's name for it is "partial internal transcribed spacer 1". The record is from RNAcentral.
CACAAAUUAAAAUAUGAAGGCUUCGGCUGGAUUAUUUUUAUCACCCUUGUCUUUUGCGCACUUGUUGUUUCCUGGGCGGGUUCGCCCGCCACCAGGACCACACCCAUAAAACCUUUUUUUUAUGCCAGGUUGCAAUCAGCGUCAGUAUAACAAAAUGUAAAUCAUUUA